UGGGGAAUAUUGCACAAUGGGGGAAACCCUGAUGCAGCGACGCCGCGUGAGCGAAGAAGGUUUUCGAAUCGUAAAGCUCUGUCCUAUGAGAAGAUAAUGACGGUAUCAUAGGAGGAAGCCCCGGCUAAAUACGUGCCAGCAGCCGCGGUAAUACGUAUGGGGCGAGCGUUGUCCGGAAUUAUUGGGCGUAAAGGGUACGUAGGCGGUCUAUUAAGUCAGGUGUGAAAGCGUGAGGCUUAACCUCAUUAAGCACUUGAAACUGAUAGACUUGAGUGAAGGAGAGGAAAGUUGAAUUCCUAGUGUAGCGGUGAAAUGCGUAGAUAUUAGGAGGAAUACCGGUGGCGAAGGCGACUUUCUGGACUUUUACUGACGCUCAGGUACGAAAGCGUGGGGAGCAAACAGG
RNAcentral lists this ribosomal RNA (403 nucleotides) under Verrucomicrobiota bacterium. RNAcentral's name for it is "Verrucomicrobia bacterium partial 16S ribosomal RNA". It matches the Rfam family "Bacterial small subunit ribosomal RNA", at positions 355 to 776 of the family's 1533-position model. Lineage: Bacteria; Pseudomonadati; Verrucomicrobiota. The record is from RNAcentral.